UGGGGAAUAUUGGACAAUGGGCGAAAGCCUGAUCCAGCCAUGCCGCGUGUGUGAAGAAGGUCUUCGGAUUGUAAAGCACUUUAAGUUGGGAGGAAGGGCAUUAACCUAAUACGUUAGUGUUUUGACGUUACCGACAGAAUAAGCACCGGCUAACUCUGUGCCAGCAGCCGCGGUAAUACAGAGGGUGCAAGCGUUAAUCGGAAUUACUGGGCGUAAAGCGCGCGUAGGUGGUUUGUUAAGUGUGAUGUGAAAUCCCCGGGCUCAACCUGGGAACUGCAUUCAAAACUGACUGACUAGAGUAUGGUAGAGGGUGGUGGAAUUUCCUGUGUAGCGGUGAAAUGCGUAGAUAUAGGAAGGAACACCAGUGGCGAAGGCGACCACCUGGACUAAUACUGACACUGAGGUGCGAAAGCGUGGGGAGCAAACA
Molecule: ribosomal RNA, 427 nt
Filed under: uncultured bacterium
Lineage: Bacteria
Description: partial 16S ribosomal RNA
Rfam family: Bacterial small subunit ribosomal RNA
Source: RNAcentral